GGACUACCGGGGUAUCUAAUCCUGUUUGAUCCCCGCACUUUCGAGCCUCAGUGUCAGUUACAGUUUUGUGAGCUGCCUUCGCAAUCGGUGUUCUAUGACAUCUCUAUGUAUUUCACCACUACAUGUCAUAUUCCGCCCACAGCAACUGUACUCAAGCCCUACAGUAUCAAUGGCAAUUUCUGGGUUAAGCCCAGAGAUUUCACCACUGACUUAUAAGGCCACCUACGCUCCCUUUAAACCCAAUGAAUCCGGAUAACGCUUGCAUCCUUCGUCUUACCGCGGCUGCUGGCAC
Molecule: ribosomal RNA, 292 nt
Filed under: uncultured Bacteroidota bacterium
Lineage: Bacteria; Pseudomonadati; Bacteroidota
Description: uncultured Bacteroidetes bacterium partial 16S ribosomal RNA
Source: RNAcentral